AGGAAACAAUGUUCCUCAAGAUAUUCUUAAAGCAAUUUCAGUUGCUGUAAAGUUAAAUGGCGAAAGGGAAAGUGCACGGAAUAAAGAAAAUGCAAGAACAGAAAAAAUGAUGAGAACGAUUGAAAAGAUUGAAUUUGAAAAUACAAUGCAGGUACUGUAUACUGUGUGUAAACCACUGGUGAUUUUCAUAGAAAUUCUGUAUAGAAUUGACUGAGUCCCUUAGAAAUGCCAAGAUAAUUAUCCUGCUAUCCUACAAACAUCUGGAAACAGGU
Non-coding RNA from Paramuricea clavata, 272 nucleotides. NCBI's taxonomy places the organism in Eukaryota, Metazoa, Cnidaria, Anthozoa, Malacalcyonacea, Plexauridae. The record is from the annotation of a GenBank genome assembly.